CCCUUAGAUGUUCUGGGCCGCACGCGCGCUACACUGUUCGACGCAGCGAGUCUUAACCUUGACCGAAAGGUUUGGGUAAUCUUCAGCAAAGUCGAACGUGAUGGGGAUCGAUCAUUGCAAUUAUUGAUCGUGAACGAGGAAUUCCUAGUAAGUGCAAGUCAUCAGCUUGCGCUGAUUACGUCCCUGCCCUUUGUACACACCGCCCGUCGCUACUACCGAUUGGAUGGUUUAGUGAGAUCUCUGGAUUGACGCUGGCUAGGGGGCGACCCUUGGCCAGACUGCUCGAGAAACUGCUCAAACUUGAUCAUUUAGAGGAAGUAAAAGUCGUAACA
This 332-nucleotide ribosomal RNA is filed under the name uncultured eukaryote. Its description in RNAcentral is "partial 18S ribosomal RNA". It matches the Rfam family "Eukaryotic small subunit ribosomal RNA", at positions 1470 to 1796 of the family's 1831-position model. The record is from RNAcentral.